Molecule: non-coding RNA, 507 nt
Organism: Cinara cedri
Lineage: Eukaryota; Metazoa; Arthropoda; Insecta; Hemiptera; Aphididae
Source: the annotation of a GenBank genome assembly
CUCUAAUAUACUAGUUCAUACUUUUUUUUUUUUUAAAAAGUUUACGAGGCUUACAUUGAGAUAAAUUAUAAUAAUUCAACCACUCUUUCACUCAGUGUCAAGUCCAGUGUCCCGCUCAUGAAAACAAAAAAUGUCUAAAUACGCCACUAUAAAGUGUCUAUUUCCGUUUGAACUUAUCUCAUAUGAUGAAUUAUGACAACACGAGUAUGAUGCAAUAAUUUUAUUUUGUGAUUAAACCCCUAUCGGCUGUACCUAACAAGAAUAGUGAUUAUGUUAUUCUUUGUUGUUGCGGGAUGCGUAAAUGUUAUUUAACAAAUUCAACUAGAUUAUAAAGUUAUUUAAAGUUAUUUAUCGGUCGUUAUCCAUUACCUAUAUUAUGUAUUAUGAUUAGUAGGGCCCGGAUGUUGUUGCAUCUGCAACUUUUCUUCUACUUAUCCAAUUUAUUGUUAAGUAAGUUUUCAAUGCGUUACAUGUUAGUACGAAUUGAAAUCUUAAAUUUUGAAGAGU